GCAGACACAUUCUAGCCAAUCAGCAGCAGACCCUCCUUCCCAGACCCUCCCAUCUCCUGGACAGCUCACUAAGAAUGCAGCUUCACAAUGAAUGUAAAAUGGAUGCUGUCCAGGAGGUGGGAGGGUUUGGGAGGGAGGGUCUGCUGCUGAUUGGCUGGCAUGUGUCUG
RNAcentral lists this microRNA precursor (168 nucleotides) under Pelobates cultripes (western spadefoot toad). Lineage: Eukaryota; Metazoa; Chordata; Amphibia; Anura; Pelobatidae. The record is from RNAcentral.